ACGUCACCUCCACUUGAAAACAUCAAGAUGGCGUCGCCGGGAGUACUUCAAACUUAAAAUCAGAUCAAAUGUAUAUCAAGUGUUAUCCAUCCUGAUAACACCUCCACAAAUAGAGACUGGAACUUCUGAGCACCAUCACCUUGUCUGCUUUGGGACUGUCAUAGGAGAAUGAUGCAGUACUUUUCUGUGUUGAAUUUACAAAACGUCAGUACACAGACAUAGUUUUGUUCCAGUUUUGCUGUGCUCAUGUCUUCUUUGUGUCCCCAGCCCAGCAAUCAGAUGCAUCAGAACAACAAAGCACAACUGUGGUGGCCCAGGCACCUUCAGCAACAAAGAUUUAACAUCAUUGUCAGUCAGGAGCAUAUUUAACAGGAGGCACACUUCAGCUGGCUUGAUGGUGACUUCAGUAAGUGUGGUUGACCCUCU
This is a long non-coding RNA of Carassius auratus (goldfish), 426 nucleotides long. RefSeq lists it as uncharacterized. The transcript has 3 exons. The record is from RefSeq and is a predicted model, not a curated record. Lineage: Eukaryota; Metazoa; Chordata; Actinopteri; Cypriniformes; Cyprinidae.